RNAcentral lists this ribosomal RNA (114 nucleotides) under Micrococcus sp. RNAcentral describes it as "23S ribosomal RNA". The record is from RNAcentral. Lineage: Bacteria; Bacillati; Actinomycetota; Actinomycetes; Micrococcales; Micrococcaceae.
CGCCCAUGCUGAACCGGUGAUACUAACCGCCCGAAGCAUCCUCGACCUCACUCUUUGAGUGGGGAGAGUGGUGUGGAGCGCGGGACCUGAACUGGGGAGGCAAGCGCAUUAACA